Molecule: ribosomal RNA, 441 nt
Filed under: Pyrenaearia carascalopsis
Lineage: Eukaryota; Metazoa; Mollusca; Gastropoda; Stylommatophora; Hygromiidae
Description: partial 16S ribosomal RNA
Rfam family: Archaeal large subunit ribosomal RNA
Source: RNAcentral
AAACAUUGCUUUAUGUUUACUUAUAAGGUUAACCCUGCUCAAUGAUAUAUUAAAUAGCCGCAGUACCUUGACUGUGCAAAGGUAGCAUAAUCAUUUGGCUUAUAAUUGAAGUCUAGUAUGAAUGGGAAUAUGGGUAGUUACUGUCUUACCAUAAGUUAAUGAAUUUACUAAUUAAGUGAAAAUUCUUAUAAUAAUAUAAUAGACGAGAAGACCCUAGAAAUUUUAUAUAUUUAUGUGAUUACAUAAGCUAUUUUGUUGGGGCGACAAAACAACAAUAAACUUGUUUACUAAAUAUUUGACCUUAUUGAGUAGAAUAAAUAAAUUACUCUAGGGAUAACAGCAUAAUACAAAAGAGUUUGUGACCUCGAUGUUGGACUAGGAAUAUUAUUGUUUAGAAGAUAAUAAUUAAGGCUCUGUUCGAGCUUAAUUUCCUACGUGAUC